Long non-coding RNA from Ixodes scapularis (black-legged tick), 327 nucleotides. RefSeq lists it as uncharacterized. NCBI's taxonomy places the organism in Eukaryota, Metazoa, Arthropoda, Arachnida, Ixodida, Ixodidae. The transcript is spliced from 3 exons. The record is from RefSeq and is a predicted model, not a curated record.
CUCUACACCUCCUUGCUGUAAUGUUGCCAGUAAAACUGUAUAAAAGGAACCUGAGCCUGAAGGUUUCAGGCGGCACACCUUGGAAAUUCUACACAUGAUCUGGCUGAGGCUUGAUAACCUGACUGCCCUGAUGGGCACUGUGUUAGAAGCUGUGAACAAGCACAAGGAGGACGAUGACGACAACUUCCCCGUUCAGGAGCCACCCGCAAGCUAUGACACCUUCAUGGAAUCUAAGUGCCAACUACAGGCUAGCGAAGCCAUGAGAAAAAAAGCUGCUGGAAAGGGCAAAAGGGCAAGGCGAAAUUCCAACAGCUGCAGUGUGUUGAG